This 888-nucleotide ribosomal RNA is filed under the name uncultured bacterium. Its description in RNAcentral is "bacterial SSU rRNA". It matches the Rfam family "Bacterial small subunit ribosomal RNA", at positions 565 to 1452 of the family's 1533-position model. The record is from RNAcentral.
GGGUCUGUAGGUGGUUUGUUAAGUCAGAUGUGAAAGCCCAGGGCUCAACCUUGGAACUGCAUUUGAUACUGGCAAACUAGAGUAUGGUAGAGGAAUGGGGAAUUUCUGGUGUAGCGGUGAAAUGCGUAGAGAUCAGAAGGAACACCAAUGGCGAAGGCAACAUUCUGGACCAAUACUGACACUGAGGGACGAAAGCGUGGGGAUCAAACAGGAUUAGAUACCCUGGUAGUCCACGCUGUAAACGAUGAGUACUAGCUGUUGGAUUCGGUGUAAAGGAUCUAGUGGCGUAGCUAACGCGUUAAGUACUCCGCCUGGGGACUACGGCCGCAAGGCUAAAACUCAAAGGAAUUGACGGGGACCCGCACAAGCGGUGGAGCAUGUGGUUUAAUUCGAUGCAACGCGAAGAACCUUACCUGGUCUUGACAUCCUGCGAACUUUCUAGAGAUAGAUUGGUGCCUUCGGGAACGCAGUGACAGGUGCUGCACGGCUGUCGUCAGCUCGUGUUGUGAAAUGUUGGGUUAAGUCCCGCAACGAGCGCAACCCCUAUUGAUAGUUACCAUCAUUAAGUUGGGUACUCUAUUGAGACUGCCGCUGACAAGGCGGAGGAAGGUGGGGACGACGUCAAGUCAUCAUGGCCCUUACGACCAGGGCUACACACGUGCUACAAUGGGUAUUACAGAGGGCAGCGAAGUAGCGAUAUGGAGCGAAACUCAGAAAGGUACUCUUAGUCCGGAUUGCAGUCUGCAACUCGACUGCAUGAAGUCGGAAUCGCUAGUAAUCGUAGAUCAGAAUGCUACGGUGAAUACGUUCCCGGGCCUUGUACACACCGCCCGUCACACCAUGGGAGCGGGCUGCAAAAGAAGUGGGUAGUUAACCUUCGGGAGGACG